GAUGAACGCUGGCGGCGUGCCUAAUACAUGCAAGUCGAGCGAACGGACGAGAAGCUUGCUUCUCUGAUGUUAGCGGCGGACGGGUGAGAAACACGUGGAAAACCUACCUAUAAGACUGGGAUAACUUCGGGAAACCGGAGCUAAUACCGGAUAAUAUUUUGAACCGCAUGGGUCAAAAGUGAAAGACGGUCUUGCUGUCACUUAUAGAUGGAUCCGCGCUGCAUUAGCUAGUUGGUAAGGUAACGGCUUACCAAGGCAACGAUGCAUAGCCGACCUGAGAGAGUGAUAGGCCACACUGGAACUGAGCCACGGUCCAGACUCCUACGGGAGGCAGCAGUAGGGAAUCUUCCGCAAUGGGCGAGAGCCUGACGGAGCAACGCCGAGUGAGUGAUGAAGGUCUUCGGAUCGUAAAACUCUGUUAUUAGUGAAGAACAUAUGUGUAAGUAACUGUGCACAACUUGACGGUACCUAAUCAGAAAGCCACGGCUAACUACGUG
This 497-nucleotide ribosomal RNA is filed under the name uncultured bacterium. RNAcentral's name for it is "partial 16S ribosomal RNA". It matches the Rfam family "Bacterial small subunit ribosomal RNA", at positions 28 to 507 of the family's 1533-position model. The record is from RNAcentral.